RNAcentral lists this unclassified non-coding RNA (381 nucleotides) under Hevea brasiliensis (rubber tree). Lineage: Eukaryota; Viridiplantae; Streptophyta; Magnoliopsida; Malpighiales; Euphorbiaceae. The record is from RNAcentral.
CGCGACGCCAUCAUCCGCCUUUCACCAUGGUUCUCAAGUAUGCUUCUCUCUUUCUCUGUCUCUCUGAAUCAAACUGAUUUCUCUUUCUAUUAUAGUGAUCAUUAACUUUGUGGAUCUGAGAUUGAAAUCCUGAACCUUUGGUGUACAUCUCUCCAAUUAAUAUUUUUUUUUCCUUUGUACUUCAAAUCCUUCUCGGAUUCCCAGAGCCCCCUUAAAUCCUGUCUAUCGCAGAUGCAUAGAGAAAUUAUCAUUUUUCAGAAAUAAGUUGCACUUUUUCUAUCAAUUGAAGUAGGGUAGCAUGUAUGUGCACAGAAAUUUUCGGGUUUGUACUGUUAAUGAAUCAAUGUGAAGCUUUGGGCAGAUAUUAUUUAUCCUUUAUUG